CAUACUUAGUCAUAUGGUCGACUUGCUCUUUAUGUAGAUAUUUUUUCGAUAGAUUAGUCACCCAGUGGUUUAAAUAUUAUCAGAUCGAUAUUAAAAUUGUAAAUUGAUAAUUUGUCUUCAUAAUACGGUUGCGUUGAAGUCACAUUGAUAACAACUAUUAAUCCUUGACGAGUAUGGAUAAUGCCGUCAAAAGUUAAGCGCGGAAGUCCCUGACCGGAUACGAAUCCGAGGGAAGCACGGAUAGAAGGGAGAAAGAGGGGAAAUGUGGAGACAGGAUAUCCGACGAUGUCCUCGCACUUCCGGCCUUUUACUUCCGCCAUGUUACUGACUCGAUUUUCUCAGUUAAGCUCGUGCGAUGGGACCAAAAUAACUGUAAAUCUAUGUUCAUUAUUGUAGCUGGAUUUUCGUGAACAAGUUAUUUAAAUACUAUAUAAAUUGCUUGCAUUAUUGUCGUUUUUGAAACGAUUUAUAAAUAAAGGAGUUUCUUAAUUCAUU
Molecule: long non-coding RNA, 495 nt
Organism: Galleria mellonella (greater wax moth)
Lineage: Eukaryota; Metazoa; Arthropoda; Insecta; Lepidoptera; Pyralidae
Exons: 2
Source: RefSeq, a predicted model, not a curated record